UACGUAGGGGUGCAAGCGUUUGUCCGGAAUUAUUGGGCGUAAAGAGCUCGUAGGCGGCUUGUCGCGUCGGCUGUGAAAUCCCGAGGCUCAACCUCGGGUCUGCAGUCGAUACGGGCAAACUAGAGUAUUGCAGGGGAGACUGGAAUUCCUGGUGUAGCGGUGAAAUGCGCAGAUAUCAGGAGGAACACCGGUGGCGAAGGCGGGUCUCUGGGCAAUAACUGACGCUGAGGAGCGAAAGCGUGGGGAGCGAACAGG
RNAcentral lists this ribosomal RNA (255 nucleotides) under uncultured bacterium. RNAcentral's name for it is "partial 16S ribosomal RNA". It matches the Rfam family "Bacterial small subunit ribosomal RNA", at positions 524 to 776 of the family's 1533-position model. The record is from RNAcentral.